AUUGAACGCUGGCGGCAUGCUUUACACAUGCAAGUCGAACGGCAGCGCGGGCUUCGGCCUGGCGGCGAGUGGCGAACGGGUGAGUAAUACAUCGGAACGUGCCCAGUAGUGGGGGAUAGCUCGGCGAAAGCCGGAUUAAUACCGCAUACGACCUGGGGGUGAAAGCGGGGGAUCUUCGGACCUCGCGCUAUUUGAGCGGCCGAUGGCAGAUUAGCUAGUUGGUGGGGUAAAGGCCUACCAAGGCGACGAUCUGUAGCUGGUCUGAGAGGACGACCAGCCACACUGGGACUGAGACACGGCCCAGACUCCUACGGGAGGCAGCAGUGGGGAAUUUUGGACAAUGGGCGAAAGCCUGAUCCAGCAAUGCCGCGUGUGUGAUGAAGGCCUUCGGGUUGUAAAGCACUUUUGGCGGGAACGAAAAGGACUGUGCCAAUACCACGGUUCGAUGACGGUACCCGCAGAAUAAGCACCGGCUAACUACGUG
Molecule: ribosomal RNA, 484 nt
Filed under: uncultured bacterium
Lineage: Bacteria
Description: partial 16S ribosomal RNA
Rfam family: Bacterial small subunit ribosomal RNA
Source: RNAcentral